AGGAGGAACAACCCCAGUGGUGGGGCCAGCUCUGGAGCCCUGGAAUCCGCUCCCGCAGUAACUACGGAGCUCUCCGUCUGCAGGGCCUGGAGGCUCCGGGGCGGG
RNAcentral lists this microRNA precursor (105 nucleotides) under Canis lupus familiaris (dog). RNAcentral describes it as "mir-8834 microRNA precursor family". It matches the Rfam family "mir-8834 microRNA precursor family". The record is from Rfam by way of RNAcentral. RNAcentral also lists the same sequence under 1 other name. Lineage: Eukaryota; Metazoa; Chordata; Mammalia; Carnivora; Canidae.